Molecule: signal recognition particle RNA, 330 nt
Filed under: Thermoplasmata archaeon
Lineage: Archaea; Methanobacteriati; Thermoplasmatota; Thermoplasmata
Description: signal recognition particle sRNA
Rfam family: Archaeal signal recognition particle RNA
Source: RNAcentral
GGCUAGGCUAGACUGGGGUGCCAGGCGUCCCCUAUACAGUACACCAGUGCUGUACCGAAAUCGUCUAUAUGCGGAGUUGAAGUUCAGAGAAGGCAUUCUUAGUUCGUUCUUGAGCCGCAGAUUGCCUAUGAGAUUUCGUCCCUCGGGGUCGGAGGUGUCUAAGCGUGCUGCCGGAGGGCAGUAUUCUUAUUCUUUGCCAUGGGCACCGGGUCAGGCCCGGAAGGGAGCAGCCCUACCAUGGACUACUGACGCUCGUGGGGUCGCGGGGUCGAGAAUGUCUGCGGGCAACUCAUUAACAGGCUAAGGUGACGACCCUGAACAUGCCUAGCU